Molecule: microRNA precursor, 110 nt
Filed under: Nelumbo nucifera (sacred lotus)
Lineage: Eukaryota; Viridiplantae; Streptophyta; Magnoliopsida; Proteales; Nelumbonaceae
Description: MIR398 microRNA precursor family
Rfam family: MIR398 microRNA precursor family
Source: Rfam by way of RNAcentral
GGGCACCCCAGAGGAGUGGCACCUGAGAACACAGGUGGUUGUGCUGCUGUACCACCAAGCAACUGAUGCACCUGUUACCUGUGUUCUCAGGUCACCCCUUUGGGGAACCC